RNAcentral lists this ribosomal RNA (546 nucleotides) under uncultured bacterium. Its description in RNAcentral is "bacterial SSU rRNA". It matches the Rfam family "Bacterial small subunit ribosomal RNA", at positions 777 to 1319 of the family's 1533-position model. The record is from RNAcentral.
AAUAGAUACCCUGGUAGUCCACGCCGUAAACGAUGAGUGCUAAGUGUUGGGGGGUUUCCGCCCCUCAGUGCUGCAGCUAACGCAUUAAGCACUCCGCCUGGGGAGUACGGUCGCAAGACUGAAACUCAAAGGAAUUGACGGGGGCCCGCACAAGCGGUGGAGCAUGUGGUUUAAUUCGAAGCAACGCGAAGAACCUUACCAGGUCUUGACAUCCCGGUGACCACUAUGGAGACAUAGUUUCCCCCUUCGGGGGGCAACGGUGACAGGUGGUGCAUGGUUGUCGUCAGCUCGUGUCGUGAGAUGUUGGGUUAAGUCCCGCAACGAGCGCAACCCUUAUUCUUAGUUGCCAUCAUUCAGUUGGGUCACUCUAAGGAGACUGCCGGUGAUAAACCGGAGGAAGGUGGGGAUGACGUCAAAUCAUCAUGCCCCUUAUGACCUGGGCUACACACGUGCUACAAUGGACGGUACAAACGGUUGCCAACCCGCGAGGGGAGCUAAUCCGAUAAAACCGUUCUCAGUUCGGAUUGUAGGCUGCAACUCGCCUAC